GCAUAAGGCCGACCCCGGCAACCUCGGGACGAACCCUAGCACAUUUCCCUUCCUCUCCUCGAGCCGCUUUAUUCUCCACAACGCGGACCUGAACAUAGCCGUCGCCAUGGCCAAGCUCUUCACCGCGACUAUGAUCGUUCCCGGCACCUGAGGAGGUGUCCAUCAACUUCCUCGCAGUCGACUAUGUCAACUAUGCCCUCAGGAACGAGCUCCUCGCCCGACAGCGCCCGGAUCCAGCCCGUCUUCGAUCUCCAAUCACCGUCGUUCGACGCAUCGAUCCACUCCGUCCUGCUGCUCCUAAGCCCUCAACGGCCUUUCUUGCGCCUCUCGGUGAGCCUUCUCCUUUCCCCAGCUUUCCCCCUUCCUUCCCUUGCCGUAGGUCGCCGUUGCCGGAGCUCCACUCGUCGUUCACCCUUGUCCGCGCUCGCCGUGUUCCGCGACCGCGCCCUGCCUCGUUUGGCCGCGCCCAACCGUGGCCAGCUCGUGCCCGUUGCGUGCCCUACCCCGCCACCGUCCGCGGCCACCGUGCCCGCGCGCCUCACUCGCUGGGCGCCCUGGCCUCACGCCACGCUGACGCACUGCCCUCGCGCAGCCCCGCACCCGCGCAAGGCCUUGCCGUGCCCGAGCGCGCCCGCACUGCUGUGCACCCCGCUGCGCCCUGCCGUGCAUCGGUCGCGCUCGUGUAGCCCUGCCACCGCAGCGCCCGCGCCCACCAGCGGCUGCCUCUACCCACCCCACGCCGCCUUCACUGCUCGCUGCGCCGCACCACGCUUGGCCGCGCCCCGCGCCUGCGUCGCCCAAUCUUUGGCCGGCCGCUGCGCCUUUGCUCGCGUCGCCCAAUCUUUGGCCGGCCGCUGCGCCUUUGCUCGCGUCGCCAUCCCCUGACGCUGCCUGUCCUCCUUGUGCUGCUCUGCUUGCUGCGUCGCUGCUCUACUACUGCUGCCGCUUAGUUGUUGCUGUUGCACCGUCGUCACUGCUGCUGCUGACCACACGCGCGUGUGCCCGCUGCCUCUCGGCCGCCGGCGUGCUGCUCCCGCUCGCCUGAUGUUGCUUGCUACCACGGCGUUGUUGCCGCAUCCUACUACUAUGUACUUCUAGUUGCUGCCUCCUACUAGCUAGCUUUUGUAUUUCUACAAUGACUAGCCUUCUAAACUGCCACUAAACAGCGAUAAGACAAGUCCUAACAUGAGUAAAAAUUAUAUAAACGGAAAGUAGACGUAAUAAGCCUCAUUUUGUUCCAUUGGACCUGUUUCAUAUAAUGCAUGGAUUAAAUCCUACAAAAAUCACAAAAUGCUAUCUUGUGUUAAAAGGAAUAGAGUUACUCCCUAGCAUAGUGUGUGUACGUGAGUGCGUAGUGUAUAGGCACCACAGCCGUGUGUGGCCGGCUAUGCCACAGCCUGGCCAGCCUUUUAGUUAGUUUAUAAUUAGUAGUACUAGUCGUGAACCCGUGCAUUUGCACGGGCUAGUAUAUGGAAUAUUGAUGAAUUGCUAUGGUUUUGGUUCAUUGUUGUUAUUUUGACUAUUGCAUGCUUCAAAAUUCUUCCUUUUUCUCAUAGUGAUUUGUCUACAAUGCCAUGUUUUUAUAUUUAAAAUCAAAUCAACAUAAUUCCCAUCUAUUUUUUUCUAGUUUUAAUAUAACUUUAGAGUUUUAUUUUAUUUAUGUUUCAAGUGCAUUAUUGUGCAUGUCUUAAUAUGUGUCAUUUUUGUUCGCAUACUUGAAAGUGUAAAUUCACGUAAGACUUCCAAAAAAGGUAAUAUCUAACUAUGCAUGACUUUAUAAAUAUUCAAGAGAAAUAUACCAAUCCUUUGUCUGUGUGACACCGUAAAGUAGAUUUCUAAACAAUAUCUCCCGGUCGAACUUCCCUUUGAUUUAAAACGCAACUUGAAACAUUGAUACAACUCCCAAGACAUUCCUAAAUUUGUGCUUUACUCAUAGAUCAUAAUCUAAUAUCUUUUUACGGGUCUUAAUUGCUCCUUCGUAAGGCAUCACAUUUAAUUGUUACCAUAUGCACCAUUUUAAAAGAUGCAUAGAGGAAAAUCAUCAGAUACCCUCGAAGAAAAAAGGUAUCAACUUAAUAUGGGGCUAUUUAUUUUCUUUACUGUCAGCGUGAUUAAGUCAAGCCUUUUUUCCAAUAUGUACAACCUAUUUAGAUAUAUUGUACUAUUAUUUUUAUAUAGAGAGCGACCAUGAUUAAGUUGUACAGACACCUCAACAAUUAAUGUAAAAAGAUCAAUUAGCCAGCAUCGUUCCUUGCUAAUAACCUCUACUGUUAUGUUUGUCCAUGUAUGCAUGUGCCCUAGAUCAAAGCAUUCAAACUGUGCGGAACGUUAUUUUAUAUUUAUCAUUAUUUCUACUUACAAAACAAAAUAAGUGUUGGAAACUAUAGCUUCCAGUUCCCCCAAUAUCUGAUUGUUUCUGGAUUUUUUUUUUCAAAACUGUAUAUGACCCAAAAAACACGCUCAAUGUUUUUCGAAACGAAACAUCGCAUAGAUCUGAAUUUUGCAUAACACGCCGUUUUCAAGAGAAUAUAUAAUUUAUUUGUAUUUGUUCAAAGAAUCAUAGAGCAUCGUGUUGGUACGUAGCCAUUGUUACUCCUGUUUAUAUAAGAUAAAAGACGAAAAAAACUAUAAUCAGAAUAUAUUAAGACAUCCACCAAACAGCAACUAAACUGAGUUUAAACACUGAUUGUUUCUUCUCAAAGAGAAUCAAAACGUCUGGUAAGAAAAAUAUUGAGGGGAUCAUUGGUUCCUUCGAGGAAGAAGAACGUACUACAGCUGAACCGCAACAAAGGCAUGGUUCAGUCCUAGCGGUGAAAGGAAUUAAGCCUGAAGCAACAUCUUGGCUGCAUAGGAUUAAUUAAUUAAGAUCCAAUCUCUAGAACACAUAACGGCGUAAGCAUCUACCGCUUCGUCAGCUCUCAUCCGUCCGUUGUCCUUCUCUCCUUCAUGUACAACAUGCUCGCAAUUUCCGUUGUCAUGAACUCCUGCAGUCCUGGUUCCCCUCUUCAAUCUGCAUGCGUUGCCGCUGAUGGCCGUUCUGUUGUGUCACUGGGAACAGCUGGUUAGCUCCCACCAGAGACAUGUCAAGCAUGAUCGGGCCAACUUCGCAUGCCAUAACAGCCCGUGUCGCGAUUGGGACUUGGAACGACAACAUAUCCUAAUUCUUCACUUCUUCUACAGCGGCAGCAUUCUAUCCGAGCCACCACCUGAGAAUCAUCUACCAGCACUGAAAAGAAAAUGUGACUAAAUUUUAAUUCAAAUGGACAUUUGAGAUCUCAUUAUGGAGUAGACCUAAAAUAGAGGGAAAAGAGCUCAACAGAUUGGAAGUAACCGAUAGCAAUUGAACCGAGAAAAGUGCGGCAUACAUGAUACAUGUGCACAUGCUGUUGAACAAUACCACACUGAUGCGUUACUGCAGUAACAUGAGGCAGCUAUACUGCUUGGGAUGUUUGCCAUCGGCUACGAUGAAGAUUUUGUUGCUUGUAGGGAUAGUCAAAUAUGAGUGGACUGUUGAGUGGCCAGGCAUGGUUUGGGUGGACUUGGUGUCAGCCUGCACUACCUGAUGGAGAAGACACACAACCAUGGAAAAACCGUUGAUUAGAAACUGCACGUUACAACAAAGGUUUUAAUGUUGUAGCAUAAAUGUAUUAAUCUAUAGUACUUAGAGUAGUAACUUUCCAACCAAGUACAUAUCGGCAUAGAAAUUAAACAGAGAGAAUACUGCAGUAAUUACACUAACAGGCGGCGAGAACACGUUGAUCUCCGCAUCUCGCCUCCUCCUUUUUGCGCACCGUCGUAGGUACAAUGGAACUGCAAGCGGCUGCUCUCCUUUCUGUCCUCCUCAUGCUGUUCGCCUUUGAAGCAGCACCUCGCCACAAGUACAAUGCUCAUUGGCGCCAUCGCAUGGUGCUACGCUGCCUCGCACUGCAACUGCCCAAACCUGUGAGAGUUAAACUCCUUUGAAAAGGACUAUUCACAGCUUUUCACACAAACAUAUACUACAACUCCACAUUUAUUUUGUACCUUCUAAUAUGUUUUUCCAAACAACGAAAAUCAGACCACACAUGAUAUCUAGAGGAAAUGUCUACAACCUUCGUGCUUUCAAAAUAAUAUGUUCUUGCUCAAAACUGCAGCACCGACAUCAGAUCUUUGCUCGUAGCAAACUUAAAUCAGUAAUAUAUUCGCAAUUAUUACAGUUUAAUCCUAGUUUUACAAUUACCUUUACUUAGCACCAGUCGAUCUAUCUAUUUUCUAACUAAUGACGAAUUAAGGUUUACCUUCCAUGGAAAGAUCACAAAUUGUUUAUAAAGCUCAAGGAUUCUCCUUCCAUGGUGUGUGACUGACCACAUGCAGGACAGGCAGCCAGCAGGUUGACGGCUGGAGCAGCAAUACCAUCGUAAUAGCUGAGGACCUCAUAACGGUAGAACUUAGUGGCGGACAGUUACCAGCAGCAGCAUCCCGCGGGCAGGGUGCAGUGCAUCCAUGUUUCCUGGAAUCAAACGGAUGCAAGUAAGGGCUGCCGGAUCGAACUUGUCCCCGCUAGAUUGAAAUUUUCAGAUCGCUAGACCGAGAUGGAGGCGACGAUCAGGGGUUCCUUUUGUAGAUAAGCAUGGUAAAAGAAAGAAAGAAUAACCGAGAAACGUGAUUGUCCCUUUAUUUCUUCUGCAGAGAUAGAAAGUCAAUUAAACGUAAGAGAGUUUUUUAAGGGAAAAAAACUCAGUUAAUAGUUUGGGGUCGUGACAUCUCUUUUUCUAAUCUAUUGCUCUUCUUCAAUCA
Molecule: RNA transcript, 4776 nt
Organism: Triticum aestivum (bread wheat)
Lineage: Eukaryota; Viridiplantae; Streptophyta; Magnoliopsida; Poales; Poaceae
Exons: 2
Source: RefSeq, a predicted model, not a curated record